UUCCUUUUUUUUAAAGCCCAUAGCUGCCUUUCUUUUUCAAGGUGUUUUCCUUUUAAUACUUUCUGGAGAUAGGGCGAUUUAUUGUUAUUUGUACUUUGCUUGGUAGCUGUGUCAGGCCCAGAAAGAGACAUUUCCCUUUUAGUGUGAUUCAAAGUGAGAUCCAAAAUUGGUAAACAGAAAAGUGGCCCGAAAUCAAUUCUAGUAUUUCUUAGAGGCUGAGAGGAGAGAAGAAGUUAAAAACUCAAUUCUGGAACAAUGUUCCAAAGCCUGGGAGAAGGUAGGCAAUGACCAAGGUCAGGAAACUGGAGUUUGAGAAGAGCACAAAACCUUCAUUGGUGACUGACAGCUUGCCUCACCUCUUGUAAAGAAUCAUUCUGAGAUAGUCUUCCAUGGCUAUGGAGUGCUGGCCAUGUGGUUUUCUUGCUCAGCUGCCUCUUUACAGCUAUGAACCCAGACAGACUCAUGAAGGUCAUGCCACAUCUACUUAAGUCAAUGAAGUGUUCAAACACCACCGCCCCUCCUUGUGAUUCUUUCCAGGCUUUAGUAUAUGCAUUUAUUUUUGGCCUUCCUGCGCUCAGUUCUAUCUCUUGUGACUUUUCCAUAGCAAACAGCCAUUUGAAUUCUAGCCAGCAUUUCAUCGUUUGGUUACCGAGCACAGAAUAGAGCUGCAGCAUGGACAUACUACACUUUUUGUUUUUCAUUCCUUUCUAGGAGUGCAUCAUGCUACAGUGAAAUACUUUGCAGCACAGCAGACUUCAAACCUCCUAGACAAGAUGGCAAUCCCUUCUGGAAGUAUGCUGCAAGGAGCCUUGUAAAGGAGAGAAGCAGUCUGACAUGGCUCAUGUUUUUUCCCCCAUUUAACCGGUGUCUUAUAUCCUGUACCAUAUUUUCUUUGUGCGACAUUGACACUCAAAUAGCUGUGUAAGGCCACUCUAAAGAACUGGAGAAAGGAACCAUGAGAACAAUUCCAGAAUGCAGAGCCACAAUUCUGGCAGAAAGAGAUAAGAAGACCGAAGCUCAGAAAAGUCUUGCCCAAAUUUACACAGGGACUUACUAGCAGAGUUAGGAUGUGAACCCUAUGAAAUAAAAUCGAUGGUGGCCGUAGGAAGGAUCUGCCAUCUCUCAAUUAUCCAUGGCCACAAAAGGGGAAUGUUGAUGUGGGUAAUCAGAAACUGCACGUAAUCUGCAUGAACAAGGCUGACUCACGUGGAGAAAAGAAACUGGCCCCGAGGGAGGUCUGUGCCCAGCUGUAUGUGGUGAAGUGCCUGGAUGCUCAGCUGGGUGAUUGAUCAGAUUUCUCCCAGGACACCAGACAGAUCAGCUAGUAGUCCAGCAAAUUCACGGAUUGGAGAAGAGCCAUUGGUAUUCUAUGCUUGGUCGUGUACUGUCAAGCAUCUUUAUGAAUGACUUGGAUAAUGACCUAGAGGCCAUGAUUUUCACAUUUCUAGAUGACACAAACUAGAAGAGAUAGAUAAAUAUCUGAUGAUGAGUCAAGAUCCAAAAAUCCCUCAAGAGGCUCAAACAUUGGGCCAGAAGAUGAGAUUUGAUAGGGACAAAUGGAAUUUCUUGUAUUUGGAUUAAAACUCUUAAGAUAGAAGUCUAAAAUGUGGGAAGGGGUAGCUAGACAACAAUUCCUAGAAAAAAAAUUUGAAGGCUUUGAUGGAUUUCAAACUCAGUAAAAGUUGAUAGUGGGGGCAAAACCAAAGGUGGAGAGAACCAGGAAGUCACCUGAGCUCUCUCUAGUUUCCUUCCAAAACAACAUUAAAUCAAGCAUUUAAAUGGAUUCUGAAGCAACAGAACACACAAAAGAUAGAGUGCAACAAUUUUCUAUCUUAGGAUAACUUAGAAGGGUUUCAGGAAAGGUCUGUCUCACUUGGGUAAGAAGGGAGCGCAGCCACAGCACAGAUCAGCAACUGAGGCUCCUUGGUCUUGGCUCAGCAGGCCAGUGGCACAGCAGGCCAGCUGUGAGGACUUCAGUCCCAGAACAGAAGACAUACUGCCAGCCCCAGAACUCUGGUACAAGGCAAGACUAGCCAGGCCACCCCAACACAAUGGGCAAGUUGCCAGCACCUAAGGCCUUGGGUCAGAAAGCCAGUUAACAGACCCUUGGCCCCCAGUGUAAGAAGCUUGGGACAGUACCCCAUGUACCCCAGGAGUAGAGCCCAACAUUAAAAGUCAUUAAAUAGGCUCAUAAAUGAGAAAAAAAACCAGAAGAGCCCUGACUGUAGAAAGCUACUAUGGUGACAGGGAAGAUCAAAAUACAAAUUAAUAAAAAAAAAAACAAUGUGAAAUGUCUACAUGCGAAACCCCAAGAGGCAAUAUGAAUUGGUCUAAAGCCCAAAAAAAUAUUCUUGGAAGAGCUCAGAAAGGAUUUUAAAAAUGGAAUAAGAGAGAUAGAAGAAAAAUUGGGAAAAUAAAUAAGAGUUAUGCAAGAAAGAGUCAACAGCUUGGAAAAGAAAGGACAAAAAUUGGCUAAAGAAUUUCUUAAAACAUACUAUUGGCAAAAUUGGGAAAAGAAUCCACUGAAGAAAACAACUCUUUAAAAAGUAGAAUUGACCAAAUGGAAUAGGAGGUA
Molecule: long non-coding RNA, 2575 nt
Organism: Phascolarctos cinereus (koala)
Lineage: Eukaryota; Metazoa; Chordata; Mammalia; Diprotodontia; Phascolarctidae
Source: RefSeq, a predicted model, not a curated record